This is a long non-coding RNA of Dromaius novaehollandiae (emu), 2945 nucleotides long. RefSeq lists it as uncharacterized. The record is from RefSeq and is a predicted model, not a curated record. NCBI's taxonomy places the organism in Eukaryota, Metazoa, Chordata, Aves, Casuariiformes, Dromaiidae. The transcript has 3 exons.
CCCGGCAGCGGUGGGGUUAUGGGGCUGCCUGGGGGCCCUGCGGAGCGGUGGGGAAGCGCUCUGGCCGCUCCACUGUAAUGGCGCCGGGCGGCUGAGGCCGGCAGAGGCGCAGCCUGGGCGCGACGGCGGCAGCCGGGGAGGGGCCCGCGGGCGGCGGCUGGGUUGUCGCUGUGGGGUCUCGCUCCGUGGGGCCUUGCGUCUCUUCAGCGAAAUCCCGCGGGGAGUGCGUGGGCCGCUAGGGCUGAGGCUCCCGAGAUCCUGCCGCCGUCUUGGGCUUAAAGCAAAGAUGUCCUUGGCGUCACCUGGUGUAGCUGUUUGCGGGGAGAGGGGAAGAUGGUGGUCAGCUAGAAAAGCAGUAAUGCUCAACUUCAGUGUUGGCUGCAAAUAAAGGGUAUUUAAAGGGUUGUCGGAUACUUAAUAGCUCGCUGUUUAACUUGUGAUUGUCGGGGCUGUCACUAAAAGCGAAUUAGGACUUGCAGAUCAUCAGCUUAGUUAAAAUUAACGUUAGUAUAUCUGUUCUAAAAUGGCGGAGAACUCUGAACCAAAUCUGGACUACUUUGGGAUUACCUAACAGUAGCGGGGUUACUGUUUUGUCUUCUCUCUACUAUAUUUGGCAAUACAGAAACUGCCUGUUAUUUGAGGAAGUGCAUUUGAUAACGGAUUUAGGAAAAAAAAAAAAAAGGUAGCUUCAAAUCUGCUGUACUUCUGAAAGUGCAGAACUAGAUAUAAAGGAGUUUGUGCACAGAUCAGACUUAGAGUGUAUGGAGGAAGUGCUAGGCUUAUGGGUUUUGAUAUUUCUUUGUUUUCCAUGAUAAUAAAAUAUCUAUACCUUAAGGUUAGAAGGGAUACAGUGUUCCACAUCUUAUUACAGGAGAAUGAUCACAUUAUCUAAUUUUAGGACAGCCUAGUUCAAUACAGUAUCAGAAUUACUGGGGUGUAGAAAGCUGUGGUAUGUUGACAUACUGUGUAGUCUUAUCUUUAGUGUAUGUUUUGAGACUUCAAAGCUUUGGUAUCAUCAUACCUGAACUAGAUUUUGUAUUUUCAAAUACAUGGUGGCAGGUGAUUUUUUUUUUUUCUUCCCCUGUUAAGUUCUGGUGUGUGAUUAGUUCCUUUGUUGCUCAGAAAGUACCCUGGGAAUCCUGACCUCAGAUGUCAGUCCUUGUUACCAUUAUUUUGACUGCCUUCCAACAAAGAUUAUUACUGCUUGUUCCAGUUUGUGUGCUAUUUGGUGAUCAUUUGUUUAUCUUUCUUUUCAAGAACUGCUGGAUCUUGGAAUUUGAAGAGCAGGGACAGGUAGAAGUGAAACCACAUCUUAGUCAGGCAAGGUAGGGGAUUCUAGAGCAUAGUUAUAAGCAGGGAAGGGUAUAUGGGCCUAUAUGUGGCCUUCAUUCUUGAGUUUCACAUUAUAGAAAGCUGAACAGAGUUAUUGACAGGAUUGAACUACAUUCCAUGGAAGACUUAGACUGAUGUUACUGACUAGAAGUCUGCAGUCUUGCUUGGAGCCAGGGAAGCUCAUUCAGCAUCCCAGGUCUGGGGCCAAACAAUCCUUGGCAGCAUUUACUUGGAAGUUUAAACUUCAUUUCAAAGAGUUAUUUUGCUCUGUGUCUAUUCUAGUGCUGUACUCUUCUACCUGCUUUCUUUUGCUGUUCAGAAGUGGCAGCCAAGCUUUUCAGCAAUGCCAUUCAACCUGGUUCUUCAGCUUAUCUUUUUUACAGAAUACUUCUGCAGAUACCGUGCACAACCUUACCUUGGAGAGGAAGGAAAUGCCUUAGGUUAUAAGGGUGGAAGAUAACUGACUGCUAUAUGAACUGGAGCUAUAAUAGUGUGCUUUGACUUUGUGCAUUUCUUUAUGGACAAAGAAGAAAUUAAGUUUCUUUAGGUGCCACAGAAGACCUAUUGUAUUGCUGCUAACUUGUGCAUACAACACUCAUGCCUCCUGAGCACUACAGAACUCUGCAACAAUUUAUAGCCUGGAAUGUAUCAUCUGCCCAUGAGUCAUCAAGUCCCAGUCAAGCUGUAAUACUGCUGGAGAGCUGUUUCACUUUAGUUUCUGAACAAAUAGUGGCCCCUUUUCUAUGCUGCAGGACUCUGGGGACAGGAUCUCCUUGAAUGCUAGUGAGGAGGAGGAUAAGGUGUUUUCUUAGCUCUUGCAAAAGGUAGUACAUAAUGUCCUGUCACAGAUGAAGUAUACCUUCCAAGCCUAGACCAGCCUUCAGGAAGCAGCAGUCAAAAUAGCCACUUCUUUGGCCUUGCAGCACCACUUGUGUAACAGUAUAAAGACAUAAUGGUGUCCAGAACAUGCAGUACCCCUGCUUCCAUAGGAUGGCUGUUGUCUACUUCUUGACAUGGCAGGUACACUUAAAACAGAAUGAGUACAAAGCUGUGGAUUAGGUUAACAAGUUGGUGUUUAAAGUUUUUCUUCUGGACCUGGUCUUAAACUGCUUCUGCAACACCUGAAAUGACAGGUGCCUGAAGAUUAUCUAUCCUGAAGAUAAAAAGAGCAUAGGCAGUCUUAAGACUGGAGAGAGAUUGAAAACAGGUACAACAAAUUACAGGGAGAUUGAGCUGUCAUCUUUGAGCAUGUAAAAAUAACUUGUGUUCAUGUUUGUUCAAGAAUAUAAGUGAUUACACCUAGAAUACACUGGAAUACUGAGCCUAAAAGAAGCAGGGCAAGAAGAGAUACUAAGCAAAGAAAAUCCUGGCAGGUGGGAAUCAGCGUGAACUGGCCCGCCAAAAGAACCUGAAGAAGACUCAGGAGAUCCACAAAGGGAAAAGGAAAGAAGAUAGCUUGUCUGCUUCUCAGAGAAAACAGAGAGACUCUGAAAUCAUGCAGCAAAAACAAAAAGCGGCCAAUGAAAGGAAGUCUCUGCAGGCAGGAGCAAAAUGAACUGUCUCUACGGAGGAGAUCUAAUGAGUGCAUCAAUGAAGCUAAAGGGCCUAGAAGA